This 542-nucleotide ribosomal RNA is filed under the name uncultured eukaryote. RNAcentral describes it as "SSU rRNA". It matches the Rfam family "Eukaryotic small subunit ribosomal RNA", at positions 202 to 746 of the family's 1831-position model. The record is from RNAcentral.
UGUAUUUAUUAGAUAAAAAACCAAUGCCCUUCGGGGCUCUUUGGUGAUUCAUGAUAACUUAACGGAUCGCAUGGCCUUGCGCCGGCGACGGUUCAUUCAAAUUUCUGCCCUAUCAACUUUCGAUGGUAGUAUAUGGGACUACCAUGGUUUCAACGGGUAACGGGGAAUUAGGGUUCUAUUCCGGAGAGGGAGCCUGAGAAACGGCUACCACAUCCAAGGAAGGCAGCAGGCGCGCAAAUUACCCAAUCCCGACACGGGGAGGUAGUGACAAUAAAUACUGAUACAGGGCUCUUUUGGGUCUUGUAAUUGGAAUGGGUACAAUUUAAAUCCCUUAACGAGGAACAAUUGGAGGGCAAGUCUGGUGCCAGCAGCCGCGGUAAUACCAGCUCCAAUAGCGUAUAUUAAAGUUGUUGCAGUUAAAAAGCUCGUAGUUGAACCUUGGGCCUGGCUGGCCGGUCCGCCUCACCGCGUGCACUGGUCCGGCCGGGUCUUUCCUCCUGGGGAGCCGCAUGCCCUUCACUGGGNUGUGUCGGGGAACCAGG